UACGUAGGGUGCGAGCGUUAUCCGGAAUUAUUGGGCGUAAAGCGAUCACAGGUGGCCAAGUAGGUCCGGUGUUAAAUACCCACGGCUUAACCGGGGAACUGCGUCCGAUACUGGAUGGCUAGAGUUCGGGAGAGGGAUGCGGAAUUCCAGGUGUAGCGGUGAAAUGCGUAGAUAUCUGGAGGAACACCGGUGGCGAAGGCGGCAUCCUGGACCGACACUGACGCUGAGGAGCGAAAGCCAGGGGAGCAAACGGG
RNAcentral lists this ribosomal RNA (254 nucleotides) under uncultured bacterium. Its description in RNAcentral is "partial 16S ribosomal RNA". It matches the Rfam family "Bacterial small subunit ribosomal RNA", at positions 524 to 776 of the family's 1533-position model. The record is from RNAcentral.